RNAcentral lists this ribosomal RNA (500 nucleotides) under uncultured bacterium. RNAcentral describes it as "bacterial SSU rRNA". It matches the Rfam family "Bacterial small subunit ribosomal RNA", at positions 791 to 1297 of the family's 1533-position model. The record is from RNAcentral.
UAGUCCACGCCGUAAACGAUGGAUACUAGCUGUUCGGAAGCAAUUCUGAGUGGCUAAGCGAAAGUGAUAAGUAUCCCACCUGGGGAGUACGAACGCAAGUUUGAAACUCAAAGGAAUUGACGGGGGCCCGCACAAGCGGUGGAGCAUGUGGUUUAAUUCGAUGAUACGCGAGGAACCUUACCAGGGCUUAAAUGUAGAGUGACAGAUUUGGAAACAGAUUUUUCUUCGGACACUUUACAAAGUGCUGCAUGGUUGUCGUCAGCUCGUGCCGUGAGGUGUCAGGUUAAGUCCUAUAACGAGCGCAACCCCUGUUGUUAGUUGCCAGCGAGUCAAGUCGGGAACUCUAACAAGACUGCCAGUGCAAACUGAGAGGAAGGUGGGGAUGACGUCAAAUCAUCACGGCCCUUACGUCCUGGGCUACACACGUGCUACAAUGGCCGGUACAGAGAGCAGCCACUAGGUGACUAGGAGCGAAUCUACAAAACCGGUCACAGUUCGGA